This 1083-nucleotide long non-coding RNA is filed under the name Nicotiana benthamiana. RNAcentral describes it as "long non-coding RNA (NBEN_LNC039540)". The record is from RNAcentral. Lineage: Eukaryota; Viridiplantae; Streptophyta; Magnoliopsida; Solanales; Solanaceae.
UGAACACAAGUAUAGGCAACUGAUUUCCAAUUCAGGCCCAAUCAUGGGCCCAAAUCAUUGAAAAAAAAACGUAGGCAUCAGCGAAAAAUAAGACUCCAAAUCCAUCCUUUAUCUUUUAACACUACCAGGAUCAAUUGUUUGAUUGCAUGUUUAUUAGAGGCCUGUUUUGGAUUUGAAUGUAACUGGACAUGAUUAUUCCUCAUGGAAAACAAAGCCUUUCAAUGCUAAUACUAUUCAAUUCAUACCAGAUCGCAGGCUAAUUACUUGAAUUUUUGAAAAGAAUCUACUUCAAACUCAUUCUUCAAGCAGUGAGCACCAGAAUAGAAGAUGAAAUUGACAUGCAACUACUCAUUCUCACUCACUCUGUAGCCUAUUACAUAAACAAAACUCAACAUCAACAUUUGAAAUAAGCUCACAACAACUUAAUAUAGUUCCCCGGCAAAGAGAUCUAAUGACUAGACUUGAAUCUAAGCAAAAGUUUUGAUUAAAAAUUAGAAUAACGAGAACAUAACAUAUACCCAGAUUUGACCAAACUUAAUGCUAAUCAGGCAUCCAUAAUAAUUCAGAAUCAGGCUAGAUUUCAACUAUACAAUACCAAAGUCUUAUGCCAAACAUACUAACAUCACUCAUUUACCUAAAGCAGAGUACAAUUCAUUAAGACAACAAACAAAUUUCAAACGUAAAAUCAGGGCAAGACUAUUGAAACAAUAAAGUAUAAAGGUACCAUGCUUCAAAUUAAGCUUUCAUUUCAAUGUUCGGGUUUACUUCAAUCAUUGAGGCUCAGAAAUAGAUACCUGAAAUUGAAAGGGAAAAGAAGUGAGGAAUGAGUAACCAGCAGCACAGAACCAACAGUAAAUAACCAGUUUUCAGCCCCGGAAAAGAUGCAAACAGCCUAGACGGAUGACUUCACAAACCAGCAACAAACCAGGAAACCUCAAACUAACCUUGAUUUCAAUCCAUUUUUAACUAUCAGCUACCCAAAAUGUUAUUCAAAGACUAAAUAGUAACCAUAUUAACAAGGUGAUCAAUAAAACAGUAAAAACAAUUUAGUCAUUUGAUUUUUUAAGUUUUUCAGAUUUUUUU